Molecule: ribosomal RNA, 326 nt
Filed under: uncultured eukaryote
Lineage: Eukaryota
Description: partial 18S ribosomal RNA
Rfam family: Eukaryotic small subunit ribosomal RNA
Source: RNAcentral
CCCUUAGAUGUCCUGGGCCGCACGCGCGCUACACUGAACGGAUCAGCGCGUUUUCCCUUCCCGAGAGGGACGGGUAACCUGCUGAACCCCGUUCGUGGUAGGGAUCGGGGCUUGCAAUUAUUCCCCGUGAACCAGGAAUGCCCAGUAAGUGCAAGUCAUAAGCUUGCGUUGAUUACGUCCCUGCCCUUUGUACACACCGCCCGUCGCUACUACCGAUUGAACGUUUUAGUGAGGUACUCGGACUGAGCCUCAGAAGAUUCACGUCUUUUGUGCUGCUCGGGAAGAUUCCCAAACUUGAGCGUUUAGAGGAAGUAAAAGUCGUANCA